This 492-nucleotide ribosomal RNA is filed under the name uncultured bacterium. Its description in RNAcentral is "partial 16S ribosomal RNA". It matches the Rfam family "Bacterial small subunit ribosomal RNA", at positions 29 to 507 of the family's 1533-position model. The record is from RNAcentral.
AGUGAACGCUGGCGGUAGGCCUAACACAUGCAAGUCGAACGGCAGCACAGUAAGAGCUUGCCCUUACGGGUGGCGAGUGGCGGACGGGUGAGGAAUACAUCGGAAUCUACUUUUUCGUGGGUGAUAACGUAGGGAAACUUACGCUAAUACCGCAUACGACCUACGGGUGAAAGCAGGGGAUCUUCGGACCUUGCGCGAUUGAAUUAGCCGAUGUCGGAUUAGCUAGUUGGCGGGGUAAAGGCCCACCAAGGCGACGAUCCGUAGCUGGUCUGAGAGGAUGAUCAGCCACACUGGAACUGAGACACGGUCCAGACUCCUACGGGAGGCAGCAGUGGGGAAUAUUGGACAAUGGGCGCAAGCCUGAUCCAGCCAUACCGCGUGGGUGAAGAAGGCCUUCGGGUUGUAAAGCCCUUUUGUUGGGAAAGGAAAGCAGCAGGUUAAUACCCCGCUGUUCUGACGGUACCCAAAGAAUAAGCACCGGCUAACUUCGUG